UAAAUACUGAACAUGAUUGAUAGCGGAAGCACAAACACUGAAGUAUCAUUCAGUCAGAACAGUAUUGCUGAAUGGGAAGAGUAAGCACGAGCAUAUGUCAUUCACAGUGAGCACUGUGUAUUUUAAUGAAUGGAACGAGACACCGCUCUGUUGCUUUCUCUGUAAGAUUGGCCCAAUCGCUAUGAUUACUCUGAUUGUAAGGAUAAAGGCAUGAGGUUCAUGGUGGGGAAAGACUGGAGGGACUUCUUUGACGGGGUCAUUGUUCAGGCAGACAAACCACACUUCUUCAAUGACUGUGAAUAUCUCUCCUGGACCUAGUUUGUCGUCAGUGUAGUGUGAAGAGGCCCUAACUCUGACUAAGAACAAAGAACCUGUUCAACAUGGCCUCCAUCAGCUGUGUGCUAAAUUACGACCUCUCCGAUACCUUCUACCCCCUAUGCAUCCCUCUACAGCAUGAGGUGCCCCUGUGGAUGGACCAGAUUUGCAGUGGCUGCAUGAAGACCCCUUUCCUAGAGGAGAUGGCCCACAUCUGCUGAGCUAACAAUGGGUUGUCAUUGCUGGGUUCUCAACAUGGACAUUCACAAAGCAGCCCACUAGAGGCCACUGGUGAUCAGUAUUAUUCAGAGAAUAAGCUUAGGUUAUUGCUAUUUCUGUAAUUGAAUACUGUGAGUAGUAUCAUGGCCUAUAUAGGAGUUACUCUCUGGCAGAUCUAAGUGAACCAAUAAUAGACAUGAACUUCAGAAACCUUUAACUUAAACACCCUUCAUUGUACAUGUUAGUUAUUAACUAAUGGGUCAUACACCCAUCCCUGUGUGACUGGCAAACAAAAUAUCUGGUUGCAUUUGAUGAACAGCAUGCAAAGACCGAUGCAGCAUGUGCCCAUCAUGGACACAUGUCUAUUCCGUGAUGAAGACAUAGCACGUACUGUAUGUUAACAAUGUAUGUUCAAAAUACUAUAGCUGCUUUUAAAAACCUGUUUUUGUGCUUGUAUACAUUCAAUAGAAUAUGGCUAAAUUUAAACAAUUUUGUCACUGUUAUAACCUUUUUCAUUUGUGAUGAUGUUGCAUGUGUAGCCUAUUGAUUGUUGACGGAUCCAACUCAAGCUCUCAUGUCCAUAAAAAUGUAAUUGUGCAUUGGAAGAACAAGAAGUUAGACAAUCAAAAUCUGUAAAUCAAGAAAUGUGUAUGAAUUUUUGAGGUAGGCAUCUAUUCAAAUUGAUUUCACAUACAGCUAUCACAUACAGUUAUCUACUAAA
Oncorhynchus masou masou (cherry salmon) is the source of this 1255-nucleotide long non-coding RNA. RefSeq lists it as uncharacterized. Lineage: Eukaryota; Metazoa; Chordata; Actinopteri; Salmoniformes; Salmonidae. The transcript has 3 exons. The record is from RefSeq and is a predicted model, not a curated record.